Molecule: ribosomal RNA, 464 nt
Filed under: uncultured bacterium
Lineage: Bacteria
Description: bacterial SSU rRNA
Rfam family: Bacterial small subunit ribosomal RNA
Source: RNAcentral
GAUGAACGCUAGCGGCAGGCUUAACACAUGCAAGUCGAGGGGCAGCACGAGUAGCAAUACUUGGUGGCGACCGGCGCAAGGGUGCGUAACGCGUGAGCAACAUGCCCGUAUCAGGGGGAUAAUCCAGGGAAACUUGGUCUAAUACCCCAUAGUAAUCAUAUCAGGCAUCUGGUAUGAUUUAAAGCUUAGGUGGAUACGGAUUGGCUCGCGUGACAUUAGCUAGAUGGUAAGGUAACGGCUUACCAUGGCUAUGAUGUCUAGGGGUUCUGAGAGGAAGGUCCCCCACACUGGAACUGAGACACGGUCCAGACUCCUACGGGAGGCAGCAGUGAGGAAUAUUGGACAAUGGAUGGAAAUCUGAUCCAGCCAUGCCGCGUGAAGGACGACGGUCCUAUGGAUUGUAAACUUCUUUUGUAUGGGAGCAAUAAGGUCUACGUGUAGAUCGAUGAGAGUACCAUACGAAU